UCCCUCUCUCCUCCCCCACUCUCUCCCUCCCUCCCUCUCACCCUCCCUCUCCUGCUCUGAUUUCCUGAACCAGCGCAAAGACAGUGAUCUCCGUCAACCUUGAUCUUGGAGACCUAUGAAGAGUCUUGUGGGGAUGCAAACUCGAGGAGGCUAAAACCGUCGGAGGCGACACAGUCAGGUCACCGGAGUGAAACGAUGGAGUCUCUCCUCUCUCUCCUCCAUCCAAGGGUAGAACAGGUUGGAGAUAAUACAGUCAGGUCCUUGGCCGCGACUGCCACUCAUUGGCUCUGUUCACAGUGACAUGCAUAUGCAGAACUCGACGGUUACGGUCACCGUGGCAUGCUCAUGAAGAAUUCGUGUGGGAAUGAUGACGUAGAAGGAGGAGGAGAUGAAGAAGAGAGGCAAUAAUGAUGGGUUUAGCUUGAAUCUGCAGCCCAGUCGUGAGGGAGGUCGUGUUUUUUAGCAUCUGUCCUGUUUCCCUCCAUCACUCUCCCCCUCCUCCUCUUUCCACCUCUGUUUUUUUAUUCAAAAAACAGAGAUAAACAGAGAGUCGUGAGGAAGGCUUCCUUGCACUUCGUGUUCCUAGUACCAAGAGCCUGGAGUUCUACUGUGGCUUGGCUUUACACUGCAAGUGUUUGCAAACCAGUUAAUGGGAAACGAAGCUGAUUUUGGAAGAGGAAGGCCGAGAGAGGGUAGUCCCCACCUAUGCCGAACCCCAGCCAGAAGCGGAUGAAGCAAUGUAUGGCCAUGACAUUUUUUUCGUUCAUUACCAAGAGAUAAUUAACAAGGCAUUUAAAAAUAUACAAAUCGAGCACAAAAUAAUUGGUCAGGGCAAUCUUUUCAAAACUACGCAUCGACUCAUUAAAUACAAAUCGAGCAAACUCUUGCAAAUAUACAAAGCAAACAACACAAGCAUCGACUCUAGCGUACAGCAUGGUUGCUUUGUGCAUAUGAAAAGAUCAGACGACUAACCUGGUCAUUUCUUCCUUGUACCAGCUAGCUGAACCUAGCAUGCAUGUUUUAACAUUCAGGAUUUUAAUUUCCGGAUUAAAUAAAUUAACAGGGUUAAAUAAAUGAAAUUGAGUAUUUAAUGAUUUGUUGAAGGUCAGUGACAGCUAACGGUCCUAUUUAUACUGGUUACAGCUCUUGGAUUUAGUCUUGAGGUGUUUUAAGCCACCUAAGCGUAAAACGGAAGAGCAGAUGGAUUAGGCCCCGUCAUCCGUCAUGAUGGAUGGUCAAAAUUGUAAAUAAUCAGUACAUGAGUUGCGAACAACAAAAAAGAAGAGGAAAUGAGAAAUAAAGAAGCAGUGAAGGAAGAGGCAUUGUUUUUGCUAGGGCCUCAUCUUCUAAACAUUUUGAAGGCACUAGCUCCAAAAAAGAGAUUGGAAAAGUACUUGAGGCAAAGGCAUAGGAACUUGUGAUUCCUACUGUAUGCCUCUUUUUGUUGAUAUUAUUUUAUGCAUAAUUGAUGAUGAAGAUUGCUAAUUAACUAGAACAAUUAUUGUUUACUUGCUAUUAUAUGUUGAUGACAUGAUUAUCAUAAGUAAUGAUGAUAUGGGAGUUGAUGAGCUCAAGACAUACUUCUGCCAGUAAUUUGAAAUGAAGGAUUUUGACAAAUUGAACUAUUUUCUUGGGCUCGAGGUAUCAUGAGAGUGAUGGUAUAUCUCUCUUUCAAGUCAAGUAUGCUACUAAUUUGAUAUCCUAAGCUCACCUUUUGGAUGAUGUGGUUGAAACUACUCAUAUCGAACCAAAUGUUCACUACACUUCUACUGAUGACACCUUAUUGGAUAAUCUUAUCUGUUAUCACUAGCUAAUUGGGGGCCUUAUCUAUCUUGCUGCCACCCUUCCUAACAUUGCUUAUGUAGUUUGUGUUGUCAACCAGUUUAUAUCUGAGCCUCACACAACUCAUUAUGUAGCAAUUCUUCAGAUCAUUCGAGAUAUUAGAGGCCUCUAUAUGAUGGGCUUUACUUCUCUGCUAGCUCCUCUUUUGCGCUACAAACUUACUCUAAUGCCGAUUGGGGUGGUGAUCGAGUUGAUCGAUGAUCUAUAAUAGGUUUCUGUAUUUUUCUUGGUCAUUCCCUUAUUUCUUGGAGAAGUAAAAAGCAAAUAUUAACCUCUUACUCUGAUGCUGAAUUGGAAUAUCAUGUACUAGAAAACACUAUCGUCGAGGUACUUUGGCUUUAUUAGUUACUUGAUAAAUUGAGAGCAUCUCAGAGCUUCUUCACAAAUAUUUAUUGUGAUAGUCAACUUGCAAUCAAGAUUGUUCAAAAUGAUGUGUUUCAUGAGCAGAUCAAACACAUUGAGAUUGACUGUCACUUUACUCGGUAGCAUAUUGUUCGAGGCACCAUUCAACUUAUUCCAAUUCGAACCAAGUAUCAAUCAGCGGAUUUGUUUACAAAAUCUUUUCAUCCAGGCAGCUUUCAAUUUCUAGUAAACAAACUUAAGUGAC
Long non-coding RNA from Prosopis cineraria, 2449 nucleotides. RefSeq lists it as uncharacterized. The transcript is spliced from 3 exons. The record is from RefSeq and is a predicted model, not a curated record. NCBI's taxonomy places the organism in Eukaryota, Viridiplantae, Streptophyta, Magnoliopsida, Fabales, Fabaceae.